UGAAUCAAUUUAGUUUGAAUUUAAAGAUUUAUUAUUAAAGUAAAGAGAAAUUUGAUUUAAAAAAAGUAUUUUUUUGUUUUUUUAUAUUUAUAGAUAAAAUUAAAAUUUAUUAUAGAAUAAUAGUAUAGAGAUAGAAAUAUUUAAAUAUUUGAAAUAAAUUAAAUUUUUUAAAGAAAAUUUAAAUUAUUGUACCUUGUGUAUCAGGGUUUAUUAAAUAAAAAUUAUAGAUUUAAUUUUCUCGAAUUUAAAAGAGCUAAGAAAUUAUUUAUUUUAUUGUUACAUAAAUAUUUGAAAUAAUUUUUUAGAAAUGAAACGUUAGUCGUUUUUAAAUUUAUCUAGUUUUUUAAGAAAUAAAUUUAAUUUAGUUAUUUAUUAUGUAAUUAAGAUAAUUUACUAUUUAAAUUAAUAUAAAUAAUUAAUAUUUUAAGGGAUAAGCUUUAAAAUAAAUUUUUGAGAAAUAGGUUUUAAUUAUAGAAAAAUUUAUAGGAGUGGAAGUAUUUAUUUAUUAUAGUGUUUUAUAACAAUUUUUUUUUAAUAUAAAAUUUAUAUAUUAUUUUCAAUAUUUUAUUAAAAUUAUUAAUCUAAUAGAAGAAUUAAUGUAAUAAUGAUAAAAUUAGUAUAAUUUUAUGUUAAUUAAAUUAAUCUAUUAAGGUUGAAUUAAGGAACUCGGCAAAAUAUCUUUUCGCCUGUUUAUUAAAAACAUGUCUUUUUGAUUUUAAUUUAAAGUCUGACCUGCCCUAUGAUAUUAAUAUUAAAUGGCCGCGAUAGCUUGAUCGUGCAAAGGUAGCAUAAUCAUUAGUUUUUUAAUUGGGAACUGGUAUGAAAGGUCGAACGAAAAAGAGGCUGUCUCGAUUUAAAUUUAAUUAGAAUUUUAUUUUUAAGUAAAAAAGCUUAAAUGAAUUUAAAAGACGAGAAGACCCUAUAGAGUUUUAUAUUUAAUUAAAGUGGGAAAAAUUUAAGAAUUUUAUUUUUUUUAUUUUUAUUUAAAUAUUUGGUUGGGGCGAUUAAAAAAUUUGAAUAACUUUUUUUAAAAUUUAUACAUUGAUAUAUGAAUAAGUGAUCCAUUAAUUAUGAUUAAAAGAUUAAAUUACCUUAGGGAUAACAGCGUAAUUUUUUUUGAGAGUUCUUAUCGAAAAAAGAGUUUGCGACCUCGAUGUUGGAUUAAAAUUUACUUUUGGUGUAGAGGCUAAAUAAGUUAGGUCUGUUCGACCUUUAAAAUUUUACAUGAUCUGAGUUUAAACCGGUGUAAGCCAGGUUGGUUUCUAUCUUUAAACAAACUAAAUAUUUUAGUACGAAAGGAUCAAGUAUUUUUAAUAAUUAAUUUAUUUAGAUUUUUAUUAAUUUAGGAUUACUUUGGCAGAAUAGUGUUU
This 1370-nucleotide ribosomal RNA is filed under the name Proagoderus bicallossus. Its description in RNAcentral is "16S ribosomal RNA". The stretch from base 1098 to 1257 matches the Rfam family "Archaeal large subunit ribosomal RNA", at positions 2542 to 2701 of the family's 2987-position model. Lineage: Eukaryota; Metazoa; Arthropoda; Insecta; Coleoptera; Scarabaeidae. The record is from RNAcentral.